Molecule: ribosomal RNA, 435 nt
Filed under: uncultured bacterium
Lineage: Bacteria
Description: partial 16S ribosomal RNA
Rfam family: Bacterial small subunit ribosomal RNA
Source: RNAcentral
AGCGAACGCUGGCGGCAGGCUUAACACAUGCAAGUCGAGCGGGCACUUUCGGGUGUCAGCGGCGGACGGGUGAGUAACGCGUGGGAACGUGCCCUCUGGUUCGGAAUAACUCAGGGAAACUUGAGCUAAUACCGGAUACGCCCUUUUGGGGAAAGGCUUGCUGCCGGAGGAUCGGCCCGCGUCUGAUUAGCUAGUUGGUGAGGUAACGGCUCACCAAGGCGACGAUCAGUAGCUGGUCUGAGAGGAUGAUCAGCCACACUGGGACUGAGACACGGCCCAGACUCCUACGGGAGGCAGCAGUGGGGAAUAUUGGACGAGGGGCGCAAGCCUGAUCCAGCCAUGCCGCGUGAGUGAUGAAGGCCUUAGGGUUGUAAAGCUCUUUUAUCCGGGACGAUAAUGACGGUACCGGAGGAAUAAGCCCCGGCUAACUUCGUG